This 587-nucleotide ribosomal RNA is filed under the name Salmonella enterica. Its description in RNAcentral is "bacterial SSU rRNA". It matches the Rfam family "Bacterial small subunit ribosomal RNA", at positions 928 to 1515 of the family's 1533-position model. Lineage: Bacteria; Pseudomonadati; Pseudomonadota; Gammaproteobacteria; Enterobacterales; Enterobacteriaceae. The record is from RNAcentral.
AGCGGUGGAGCAUGUGGUUUAAUUCGAUGCAACGCGAAGAACCUUACCUGGUCUUGACAUCCACGGAAGAAUUCAGAGAUGGAUUUGUGCCUUCGGGAACCGUGAGACAGGUGCUGCAUGGCUGUCGUCAGCUCGUGUUGUGAAAUGUUGGGUUAAGUCCCGCAACGAGCGCAACCCUUAUCCUUUGUUGCCAGCGGUCCGGCCGGGAACUCAAAGGAGACUGCCAGUGAUAAACUGGAGGAAGGUGGGGAUGACGUCAAGUCAUCAUGGCCCUUACGACCAGGGCUACACACGUGCUACAAUGGCGCAUACAAAGAGAAGCGACCUCGCGAGAGCAAGCGGACCUCAUAAAGUGCGUCGUAGUCCGGAUUGGAGUCUGCAACUCGACUCCAUGAAGUCGGAAUCGCUAGUAAUCGUGGAUCAGAAUGCCACGGUGAAUACGUUCCCGGGCCUUGUACACACCGCCCGUCACACCAUGGGAGUGGGUUGCAAAAGAAGUAGGUAGCUUAACCUUCGGGAGGGCGCUUACCACUUUGUGAUUCAUGACUGGGGUGAAGUCGUAACAAGGUAACCGUAGGGGAACCUGC